GAUCCUGGCUCAGAGCGAACGCUGGCGGCAGGCCUAACACAUGCAAGUCGAACGGACUCUUCGGAGUUAGUGGCGGACGGGUGAGUAACACGUGGGAACGUGCCUUUAGGUUCGGAAUAAGCCCGGGAAACUGGGUCUAAUACCGAAUGUGCCCUCGGGGAAGGAUUAUCGCCUUUAGAGCGGCCCGCGUCUGAUUAGCUAGUUGGUGGUGUAAUGGACCACCAAGGCGACGAUCAGUAGCUGGUCUGAGAGG
RNAcentral lists this ribosomal RNA (253 nucleotides) under uncultured bacterium. RNAcentral describes it as "partial 16S ribosomal RNA". It matches the Rfam family "Bacterial small subunit ribosomal RNA", at positions 15 to 299 of the family's 1533-position model. The record is from RNAcentral.